UUCUCUUAGAGUUUCCCCUGAGACAGAGAACACAAAACUAUCUUUGGAUUUUCUAUGGGGAAAUCUGUUUUGCCCUUGGGGAAAGAGAAAAAUCCAGCCCCUAAAGACUAGCAAGUAAGACCUCUUCAGACUCCCAAGACCACUACUUUGGUUUCAAGAAAAUGGGUAAGAAUUAUGUGCAAGACAGAUUAUUGCUAGCCUAAAUAAACGGUAGCCUUGGAAAAUUCACAGAACUUUCUAGAAAAUAACUCAGUUAAAAAACUCAACAAAUCUAUUUAAUCAUUAGCUCUGUUACUGCAAAGUACUCUUCAUCUAUACUUUUAUUUAAAGUACAGCAGGCUGAAAGCCAAAAUGAGCUUUAAAAGGAAAAAAUGUACAUCUGUCAAUUUUAACUUCCAGACUUCUGAAAUCUUGCUGAAGCAAUCAACUGAAUUUUAUUUGGCUUUGUUUGUUUGUUUUUCCAUUUCAGCAAACAUCAGUACUCCUCCUCUCCAACUGUCACUGACAAAUUUAAUAUGAAAAUAUUCUGAGAUUGACUUCUGAAGAGCAAGGCCUGAAUCGCUUGGGGAAAAUAAGAGAAACCUUGUUUAUUGGGGGAAUAGGAAAGUCAAUAAAUCCCUGACGAGCUUUGAUCCUAAUAGAGCAACAGACAGAAGACACAGAUAUUUUUCCAAAUGCCCUGGAUGAAAACAGAGAUUAUUAGAAAGGACACAAGUGAAAAAGACUGCUCCAGAAAUGUUUUAGAUAACACGUUACAGUCCCUCUCAACUGCAAAGGAAUCUUGGGAGGAAGAGAAAGAAGGAUUUUUGCAUGAAGUCAACCAGCAAGCAACACAAUUAGAGACCAUGUACUUACCAAUAAUAACAGUGUUGUCAUCAGCAAUUAGCAACUUGCUGUGGACAUAGAUGAGCUCAGUGACUAGGUUUCCUUCAAGCUCUGCAUGCGUUCUAAGGCCACAGAAUGAUAUGUAAUUUAUCCACUGAUUGCCAACUAUAAAGUAAAAAAGAAAGUAUUAAAAUGAAUAUGACCUAGCUCAAUAAAGGCACAUUACAUUUUA
Herpailurus yagouaroundi (jaguarundi) is the source of this 1057-nucleotide long non-coding RNA. RefSeq lists it as uncharacterized. NCBI's taxonomy places the organism in Eukaryota, Metazoa, Chordata, Mammalia, Carnivora, Felidae. The record is from RefSeq and is a predicted model, not a curated record. The transcript has 2 exons.